RNAcentral lists this long non-coding RNA (466 nucleotides) under Homo sapiens (human). Its description in RNAcentral is "long independently transcribed non-coding RNA 424 (LINC00424)". Lineage: Eukaryota; Metazoa; Chordata; Mammalia; Primates; Hominidae. The record is from RNAcentral.
CCAAGUCCGUGAUUACUAGAUCUGAGUUCUACAAUAGAACCUAAAAACUGUUUCCAACCCAUCACGACAUCACCCUGAAAAAUGAGUGAGCAGUCACUGAGGCUUCCCAAGUUUGAAAAUUCCACAAGACUGAGAGCAAAUGUUUUGUUGAAACUGAAGUCAAGAUGAAGUCAGCUGACUCUCAAACCUCAGGUGAAGUGACUCAGGGCCCACACCCCGGUUCUGAGGCAGGGACACAUUUUACUUGCAGCACCCUGCAGCUUUGGAUGAGGCUGCAACCCGGGUGAAUCCUGGCCCUGCUAUCACGUGGGCAGCCACUGCAUCCUCCGGAGGCUGUGGAUGGGAGUCACCAUGCUGGGAGGUCUGGAGUAAGAUCUGUGCCAUCUGCCUUGCCCAAUCCUGUACCAGUGCCUGUGUUUCAAAAUCUCAAAAUAAAAGUGAUUAUUCUUGCAAAAAAAAAAAAAAA